AUCUCUCCCAUGCAUCAUAAAGAGUUUCUAGAUCCAUCUGCACAAAAGAAGAGAUAUCAUUCCUCAAUUU
Small nucleolar RNA from Gossypium arboreum, 70 nucleotides. It matches the Rfam family "Plant small nucleolar RNA R71", at positions 38 to 107 of the family's 107-position model. From Rfam's summary of the family: R71 is a member of the C/D box family of snoRNAs containing the C (UGAUGA) and D (CUGA) box motifs. Multiple nearly identical copies of this snoRNA have been identified in Arabidopsis, and it is thought to function as a 2'-O-ribose methylation guide for 18S ribosomal RNA. The record is from Rfam. Lineage: Eukaryota; Viridiplantae; Streptophyta; Magnoliopsida; Malvales; Malvaceae.